CCUGUUGCAGCACAACAACGUUUGCUGGUUAAGUAGGGAGCAUGUGUUAGAGAGGUUUUGUGUGCUUCAAAAAGAAAUAAUAAAUUUUUUUGCAAACCACAUGACCAAAAAGGCUUGUGAGUUUCUGGAAUUUAUGAAUGAUGUCCCCUCUAUGUCACAGGUAGCUUUUCUGUGUGAUAUUUCUAGUCACUUGAAUUCCCUCAACUUGCAGCUCCCAGGCCAUGCAAGCAGCGUUGAGGAUCUGUUUGAAAAAGUGUGUGCCUUUCAAAGGAAUCCUGAAAUCUUUCAGACAGCUGUAACAGGAAAGAUGUUGCACUUUCCCACAUUGUGUGUUGUUGCUACAGGGGAAAGUUAGAUGAAAACAAUGCAAGAAUUCUUAAACAAUCUGAUUGAAAAAUUUAAAAUGCAAUUUGAGAAUUUUAAAAUUCCAAAGGAUUUGCUUUUAUUUGUUUGUAAUCAUUUGUUGUCUUUGCCAAUGGAUCUUAGCCUUCUGAAGAAAAGAACAUUCUUGAUUCAAUUGAUGAAGGUGCCUUUCAAUUAGAAAUUGUAAGGCUCCAAAACUCAGAUGUUUUGAAGUCAAAAUUCAGAGAAGUAGGACUUCGUGAUUUCUGGAUUCAAUAUGCUGAGCAGUUUCAGAAUAGCUAGAAUCUAGUAGUCUAUUUUUAACGAUGUUUGGAUCAACGUACCUCUGCAAAUCUGGGUUUUCUACUAUGGACAUUAUAAAAAACCAACACCACAAUUGCCUGACGGAUGAGCAUCUUCAACCAUGUAUGUGCCUUGCCCGGACCUUCUACAAACCACUCUUCACAAAGUUUGCCAGAGUUCGUCAAUGUCACCUCUCCCCUUAGAGAUUGCUACAAACACAGGUAGAUCUAAUUGAGUAUCACUGUCUAAGAGGGUUCGUUACUAGCACUUGCCUGACCAAGUUGGAGCCAGCCAACAUGGGUUUAAGCAAACGGAGUCUAGUUCUGUUAUUCCUCGAAUGCCUGCCUGCUGAGAGAAGUUCUGCAGAGAUUUCUGCUGUGCUCGAGUCAAGGGCUUGAGUCAUGACUCAUGAGACUGCCACCACAUCAGAUCAUAGGACCACUUUCUUCACUCAUUUCCUGGGAAAGUCCUGUUCAGUGUAUGAGAAUGAUCCAGGCAAUUGGAUUCUUUGAAAUUCUAUGACAAAGGCCACAGGGUUAGCUUAAUGAAAGAAGUCCGCUUGUAGGCAGAUUUAAGCUGUUGAGGUUUGGAUUUUCUAAGUCCCCAAUAUCACAUGACUGUGGCUUAAAUCUAGUUGAAAAUUUUUGAAAUGUUGGCAGAUGUGUCAUGAUAAUUGUUUGCUGUCUUUCAAUCAGGUAGUCCUGGGGUCAAUUUUUUAAAAAUCUUUGAAAUGUAGACAAAAAAUGUUUGCAAAAUGUUUUUGAAAAUGUUUGUAUAUUAUUUUAUUGAGCUCUGAGGCUAUAGUAUUUUUUUUUAAGGUUAGUUCACUUCCAUUUGGAAUAAUCCUGAAAAUGAAGCUUGUGUAAAUGAGUCUUAAUUUGCGCAAAAUGAGGUAUCUUUUCUUUUCUCACCACCGAGUACUGUAGUUGAUUAGCUACAUCCCUUUGUCCAGUAUGAAUAGCUGUUGAUCAUCCACAUGUGGAUUGGAUAUCUCUAGAAAGAAUAAUGGCAAACAUUUUUCCACUCACCAGACUGCUAGCUCUCAGCUGUCACCUCAUAACUAUAAAUAAUAGCUUUGGGGCUAGGUAUAUUUCAGAUACAGGCACAGAAGGAGAGAGAAAAUAGAGUCAUUUCCCCUCCUCCUCCCCGCCCCCUCCCCCGAUCACUGGCCUACUAUUGUUCCUUUGUGGUCAGUGGCAGGACGUACAAGUAGUGUUUGAGAUUCCAUAAGAACCUGUUUUGUAUUUGUGCUAGGCCAACUGAUUAGAGGGAUGGUAAUGAUGACUAGCAGCUUGCUGGGGAAAGAGAGAAGACAAGGCUUUUCAUAAUUAAUAAACAGAUUAAACUAAAACACAAAAUCCUACCGAUACUUAAAUUAUUUACCUAUCUCAGAUGCGGUUUGCCACAGUAAAGGUGCAAAUGGAAAUGCAAAAGCACUUUGGAAGGUUUGAUUCCAUCCAAAAUCUGUAACAAACAUUGAGAACAUUUUAACUGGAAACUGAACUUUAGCCGCUUUGUGAGUCUCUUAGAUGUUAACACAGCUAUUGGAGAAAUACUGUAUUGCUGUGCCUUUUCCUCAGUGCAUUUGCAGGAAAUGCCGACAUAAUGGUCUUCAGUCUAAAACAUAAAAGGGUCUCAUGGCAAAAGAAGCAGCAUGUGUAAGGCUAACUAUUUUUUUAAGCUACUGUUUUUCUUCUUUCCCUUUUUAAAUAUAUUUGAAUAAAGAACUUUGUUUUGUUUUUCUUCGAGACCACUUUUUGAUGUACAAUUUUUUCUGGCUGAUAGCCCCCGGGCCCCAAGGCAUCACUGGAGCACAGCACUCUGGUGAUGUGCCCUCUGCUCAUGCACAUGGGGUGGCAUAAAGCUGACUAUGCCAUCCAGGGGUUCCACUGCUCUGGAGAAGGCCUCAGCUGCCCCAUUAGGGCAUCUUUACGACCCCUCCGCUCCACCGGAUGUUUAUCAGGUAAUUAUGGAAAGUAGUGCCUAACUGAUUGUUCAAGUUCACUGAAAUACAUAGGCAACAAAGCAAUAAAAUUGGAGGCAUUUUUACUGUAAGCUCCAAAUCUGUCAUUUAGCUGCAUGAGAACAGCAUCUUUAAAUGGAAGAAAUAGUCAAAGUCAUUAGUGACUUUAUAGCUGCAACUGCCAGUGCUACUUCUAUGGUAUAUUGGUUUUUUUCAUUCACUGUAAAUUAGGAGCAAGUUGUAAAAGUUGCAUGUAAAACUGAAAUAUCUUAAUUUAAAAAUGGAAAAAACAAACCCGUUUCUCCUGUUGAUCUAGGAGCUCAAGAUCAUAGCAAUAGUAAUGUUGUUGUAUUCUAUAUCUGAACCGGUUAAAAUUAACAUUUUGGUAUUAUUCCCAGCUAAAUUAAGAUGAUUUGGUGACAAGAAGAAAUGUAUUUUCUACUGUUAAAGUGAUUUCCUACCAGCUCAUAUUUAUGAUAAGAUGGGAGUAUUCAGGCAUAGAGGAACUUGAUGUUUAUAACAACAUGCAUAAUCAUUGUUUGAAAACUUUUGAAUAAUUUUGUAAUAUGCUGUGUGUUUUUUAUAAAUAUACCAAACUAUUUUCAAAGAUAAAUAUUUAUUAGCUGGUUUGAAUUGAUUCUUGUAUUUCCACUUGAAGACUUCAGUAAAUAGAAAGAUACUUAAAUUGCUCAUGCGCUCCUAUAUGUUGUAUCUUCUUUUUUGUUUUGUAUUCAUAUUUUUCUUCUUUUCCUUUUUACUUAAGAGAAUUAUCUGAACAAAAUAUAAACAAAAUGGUUAGAUAUAAAUUUCAGUAGCAAAGGGCCAAUGGUAUCUAUGUAUAUUACAGUAAGAUCAUAGAAGCUUAGGUUGGUCCUUGUAUAUGUGAGAUCCACUUGGAAGGAUCUGGAAAGCUAAGAGGUUGCAGGGUUAGCUUGGCAUCAAAUAUCAAGGCACUGAAGCCCUGAUCCAGCAGGCCAUCCUUAUUUAACAAAGCACUUAAGCACAUAUUGAUCUCUAGGGAUGUGUUAAGUUCCAUUGACAUCAAUGGGACCUAAGUAGAUAGAAUCAUAGAAGUGUAUGACUGGAAGGGACCUCAAGAGGUCUUCUAGUCCCCUGCACUCAAGGUGGGACUAAGUAUUAUCAGAUUCUAGGCCAUCUUUACUUUAAGCACAUACUUAAGUGUUUUGCUGAAUGGAUUGGUAUUAAGUGCCUACUUAAAUGCCUGGCUGAAUUGGGGCCUGAUCUCUCUUUUAUCCCACUGGCCUGCUCCAAUUGCAAAACUUCACUCACUAUUCUGUCACUCAUAUUGGCAUGAAAUUCUGGUUUCUUCCUCCAUAGCAUUUCCUUUUCACUCUGCUAGCCAGAUCUAUCACAUGGUCCCCAUUAUCACUCACACAUGGUCUUCAUUAGCACUUCAUUGCUCCACAUUACAAAGUCUAAUACCCGGUUGGUUAAUUUAAUGCUUUCAAUGAAAGUGCUUAUCUAUUUAUU
Long non-coding RNA from Mauremys mutica (yellowpond turtle), 4099 nucleotides. RefSeq lists it as uncharacterized. Lineage: Eukaryota; Metazoa; Chordata; Testudines; Geoemydidae. The record is from RefSeq and is a predicted model, not a curated record. The transcript has 3 exons.